GCUAGUGAUGACAAAUGGGGAGUCCUGCCGCUCAUAACGGUAUAUCCGAAAGGAUCAAGUCGGUUCGAUUCCGGCCACUAGUACCA
RNAcentral lists this transfer RNA (86 nucleotides) under Ochrobactrum phage vB_OspM_OC. RNAcentral's name for it is "tRNA-Met". The record is from RNAcentral. Lineage: Duplodnaviria; Heunggongvirae; Uroviricota; Caudoviricetes; Pantevenvirales; Kyanoviridae.